Molecule: non-coding RNA, 104 nt
Organism: Cucurbita pepo subsp. pepo (vegetable marrow)
Lineage: Eukaryota; Viridiplantae; Streptophyta; Magnoliopsida; Cucurbitales; Cucurbitaceae
Source: RefSeq, a predicted model, not a curated record
AUUAUAAGUGGGGACAUCAGAUAAAUUUGGAUCGAGACAAAGAAGAUUAGCAUAGCCUUUGCCCAAGGAUGACACGUACAAAUCGAGAAGCCUUGCUUGUGUCU